Molecule: long non-coding RNA, 226 nt
Organism: Gordionus sp. m RMFG-2023
Lineage: Eukaryota; Metazoa; Nematomorpha; Gordioida; Chordodea; Parachordodidae
Exons: 3
Source: RefSeq, a predicted model, not a curated record
GAAAAUAUUAUAUCUGACUCUGAUAAUGAUCAUAAAAUUGGUGAACCAGAAGCAGACAUAGAGCAGAGAUUUGACAAGAUGAAGAACAAGUAAUACCUAUUAUCUCUCUACUGGAAGAAAAAGAACUUACACCAUUGGCGUACGCAGCGGGGGGGGGCAGGGAGACAAAUUCCUCCCCCCCCUCCAAAGCCAAAAAAUGCAGAUGCCGGAUAUAUUUUUCAAAAAU